This 262-nucleotide ribosomal RNA is filed under the name uncultured Spirochaeta sp. RNAcentral's name for it is "partial 16S ribosomal RNA". It matches the Rfam family "Bacterial small subunit ribosomal RNA", at positions 1120 to 1382 of the family's 1533-position model. Lineage: Bacteria; Pseudomonadati; Spirochaetota; Spirochaetia; Spirochaetales; Spirochaetaceae. The record is from RNAcentral.
ACCACGAGAGGUGGGGACUCAGGCGGGACGCCGGUGACAAACCGGAGGAAGGUGGGACGGACGUCAAGUCAUCAUGGCCCUUAUGUCCUGGGCUACACACGUGCUACAAUGGCCGGUACAGAGCGCAGCGAGGCCGCGAGGCGGAGCGAAUCGACUUAAAGCCGGUCCCAGUACGGAUUGGAGUCUGCAACCCGACUCCAUGAAGUUGGAAUCGCUAGUAAUCGCGCAUCAGCAUGGCGCGGUGAAUACGUUCCCGGGCCUU